GGCCAGGUUGGGGGGCGGGGGGCAGCGCGGAGAGCCUGGCGCUGAAGGCGGGUCCCCUCCUCCACGAGGGGUCCCGGUGGGGGAGCGGGGUUGAUCUCCGGCGGGGUCCGCAGGCCCCAAUCCCAAUCCCGCCCACCUGCUUCUCCCUCAGGCGUUUCCUGCACCAGCUCCGCAGCGAGGGAGCGCCCGCAGCAGCGCCGUGCACCAGGUACUGUUGAAGUACCAGCCUGUUUCACUCCUCUUUCAAGAUAACUUGAAAAUCAGCAUGGCUUCUCCCUGCAAAGCCGCAGACUUCUUCUUUGUACUCAUUUCACUGCUGUUUCUACUGCCUGGGGUUGAAGCCCUGGAUCUUGGAGAUGCAGUUGCCCUCUUGCUGGGCUUAGCUUUCAGUGUCACUGGACUCUGUGCCUGUCUAGGCUGGUAUGCAAGAAGAAGAAAUGGACAGCUAUAACUUUCAGGAGAUGCCCAGGUCAAGAAUAAUUCUAAAGUUUUCUUGUUGGGAUUUAAGAUUUAAAACUGAGUGAAGUUUCUGGUAGCUUUCUGAAUCAUGAAGUGGGAUCCUUCAAACUUAUCUUGCUCUGCUAUGCCAGUAAUAAGGACUGUGCUUGGCAGAAAGUGUUUGCAAGAUCUAUUCCAGUAGCAGUAAGAUGAUUUCAUAUUGCUUGUGAUGAGAUACUGCCUUAACACUAAGGUGGAAAUGAGCUAUUUGAAGAAAAAUGUACUCAAACUGAUUAAGUAAAAGUUUUAAAUUUUUUUUUUUGAGCAAAAUGCUUGACUGACUCUACAAGUUGGAUUACAGUGGAUGGUCAGCAGAAAGGCAGCCAUUAAGAUGCUAGUCAGGAUAGAAACUUGGAAGUACUGAAUCUCUCAGUUUUAGAACUAAAGAGCCAGGCCUAUUUGUAAAUGCACAGGUUCUUCCUAAUGAGAAUUUAAAAGGAAAAAAAAACCCAUAAUAGCUCAUUUCUUUUGUCAUAGGGCUAAGACAUCGGAGCCUUAGAAAAAUGUGGAAAAAAUCUCUACUGGUAAAGCAUACCUCCACUGUAGCGUAGGUUUAUGUUACAAAUUAGAAUCAAUGAAUAGCUUUGUUUUGCAAGAGGACUAGUAUUUUUCUUUAAUAUGUGUAUGACGCAUAGGAAUGUCUGUAACAUGUCUACUGGUCAAAGGGAAAAAUUUAUGUUGUAAAAACUUGGAAAGACCAAAUGUUUUGUGCAUGUAUCUUCUUUGUUUACAUCUUACAACCAUUUCUCUCUGAAAUGGGUUCAGUUUGGGGUUUUGUUGUUUGCAGUAUCUUUAUAUUGGGAAAAAUCAAGAAAUCCAGUAAACUGUUUGACAAAAUUUUAAUAGCUGGUCAGUAGGCCCCACUUCAUGAUGAUGCUUUUAUGCCUUCUUUAGCUAGCACUGAUGCCCCAGUCCUAACUCCCCUGGGUUGUCCACUUGAGCUCUAUGCAAGAUUGUGGCCAAGGCUUGUGCCAAAAGAAAACAA
This is a long non-coding RNA of Gavialis gangeticus (Gharial), 1483 nucleotides long. RefSeq lists it as uncharacterized. Lineage: Eukaryota; Metazoa; Chordata; Crocodylia; Gavialidae. The transcript is spliced from 2 exons. The record is from RefSeq and is a predicted model, not a curated record.